GAGUUCAAGAGUACGUGAACCGUUUAGGGGUAAACCUGAGAAACCCGAAAGGUCGAAGGGAGAAAUUCAUUCGCGUUUCAUCGCAGGCGCGCGGCGAUCGCGUGACGGAGACGUUCGCGUUUUCCGCACCUUUCGUCGUGUUCGAUCCGGCGGCGAACGCGUGCACUUUUCUCCUGGUAGGACGUCGCGAUCCGUUGGGUGUCGGUCUAAGGUUCUGACGGUGGAGCCCGCGAGCACGGCCACGUGUCGUCGUGAGCGGACCMGUUUUUCCCGGCCGACUCGCUAGACGGUAUAAGAAAGGAUUAAGGCCACUCUCUAAUACGAGCGUUCGACCCGCGACAAGCGCGCCAGCAGUCCGUGAGCUAUCGGACCUAGCGUCCGGUACCGACCUCCGGUGAUUGUUCCUUGUGGUGUUUGUGGAGCGCGACCUUUUUAAGAAACC
RNAcentral lists this ribosomal RNA (442 nucleotides) under Sphenophorus sp. CND751. Its description in RNAcentral is "eukaryotic LSU rRNA". Lineage: Eukaryota; Metazoa; Arthropoda; Insecta; Coleoptera; Curculionidae. The record is from RNAcentral.